CCUACGGGCGGCAGCAGUCGAGAAUCAUUCACAAUGGGGGAAACCCUGAUGGUGCGACGCCGCGUGGGGGAAUGCAGGUCUUCGGAUUGUAAACCCCUGUCAUGUGGGCGCAAAUUACAACGAUAGUACCACAUGAGGAAGAGACGGCUAACUCUGUGCCAGCAGCCGCGGUAAUACAGCGGUCUCAAGCGUUCUUCGGAAUCACUGGGCGUAAAGCGUGCGUAGGCUGUUUCGUAAGUCGUGUGUGAAAGGCGCGGGCUCAACCCGCGGACGGCAGAUGAUACUGCGAGACUAGAGUAAUGGAGGGGGAAGCGGAAUUAGCGGGGUAGCAGUGAAAUGCGUAGAUAUCGAGAGGAACACUCGUGGCGAAGGCGGGUUCCUGGACAUUAACUGACGCUGAGGCACGAAGGCGAGGGGAGCGAAAGGGAUUAGAUACCCUGGUAGUC
This 446-nucleotide ribosomal RNA is filed under the name uncultured bacterium. RNAcentral's name for it is "partial 16S ribosomal RNA". It matches the Rfam family "Bacterial small subunit ribosomal RNA", at positions 338 to 795 of the family's 1533-position model. The record is from RNAcentral.